GUAGGUGGCAAGCGUUGUCCGGAAUUAUUGGGCGUAAAGCGCGCGCAGGCGGUUCUUUAAGUCUGAUGUGAAAGCCCACGGGCUCAACCGUGGAGGGUCAUUGGAAACUGGAGAACUUGAGUACAGAAGAGGAAAGCGGAAUUCCACGUGUAGCGGUAAAAUGCGUAGAGAUGUGGAGGAACACCAGUGGCGAAGGCGGCUUUCUGGUCUGUAACUGACGCUGAGGCGCGAAAGCGUGGGGAGCAAACAGGAUUAGAUACCCUGGUAGUCCACGCCGUAAACGAUGAGUGCUAAGUGUUAGGGGGUUUCCGCCCCUUAGUGCUGCAGCUAACGCAUUAAGCACUCCGCCUGGGGAGUACGGCCGCAAAGGCUG
This 373-nucleotide ribosomal RNA is filed under the name uncultured organism. RNAcentral describes it as "partial 16S ribosomal RNA". It matches the Rfam family "Bacterial small subunit ribosomal RNA", at positions 527 to 896 of the family's 1533-position model. The record is from RNAcentral.